This 210-nucleotide long non-coding RNA is filed under the name Phoenix dactylifera (date palm). RNAcentral's name for it is "long non-coding RNA (PDAC_LNC001816)". Lineage: Eukaryota; Viridiplantae; Streptophyta; Magnoliopsida; Arecales; Arecaceae. The record is from RNAcentral.
GAUCUCUCUUGCAUUUUUUACUUCUUUUUGACUUUAUGGGCUACACUCACAUCCAUUGUGUGUGAGUCGCCGAUGUAAAAAAAAUUAAAAAAAUAAUAAAAAAAUAAUAAUAAGUACUUCUCUUUGCUUAUGCAGAUUAAGAGUAUCAUCGGUAACAAUAAGAGUGUACAUGUUGAACAAAUGGAGUGCAUGCAUUCACAGUGAGAUGCU